GUGCUUUAGGGAUGAACAGGUCCCCAAAUUAAUCUUACUCCAUCCUUUUUCACUUUGUCAGCUGUCUUUGUUUAUGUGUGUUGCUGAUCAUUGUUGGAUGGAAUAGGU
Small nucleolar RNA from Rosa rugosa (rugosa rose), 108 nucleotides. RefSeq annotates it as small nucleolar RNA snoR99. The transcript has a single exon. The record is from RefSeq and is a predicted model, not a curated record. Lineage: Eukaryota; Viridiplantae; Streptophyta; Magnoliopsida; Rosales; Rosaceae.